This 262-nucleotide long non-coding RNA is filed under the name Panax ginseng (ginseng). Its description in RNAcentral is "long non-coding RNA (PGIN_LNC016429)". Lineage: Eukaryota; Viridiplantae; Streptophyta; Magnoliopsida; Apiales; Araliaceae. The record is from RNAcentral.
GCGGAGAAGGAGAAGGGGAAGGGAAUGAAGUGAUUGAACAGAAGGCAGCGAAGAAAAAACGGAUAGUUUAUGGCUGAGGAAGAGGAAGAGAUUUGACCAACUCGAUAAAUAACUCAGUGAAAUUGAUUAAAUUGAUUCUGAGUCAAUUUCAAAUUGGGAUCGCUUUUGCUGUAUUUAUAUAUAAGGUAUUGAUUUAAUCAUAAUGUGAUGUGAUAUGGUUUAUCUAAGAGAUUGGACUUCUUAGAUAUAGCCUUAGAGCCCC